Cannabis sativa is the source of this 1184-nucleotide long non-coding RNA. RefSeq lists it as uncharacterized. Lineage: Eukaryota; Viridiplantae; Streptophyta; Magnoliopsida; Rosales; Cannabaceae. The transcript has 2 exons. The record is from RefSeq and is a predicted model, not a curated record.
UUUCAUUUCAUAUCCAUAUAUCAUUUUUGUUUAUAUUAUUUCAUUUUUUCAAUUCUAAUUAAUUAUUCAAUGUAUAUAUUAUAAUUAUAAUUAUAGUAUAUAACAGAAUGUUACCUGUUGUUUCUUUAAAUAAUCGUUUGGUAAAACUUUCCAAAUGAAUUUUAUAAUAAUUAUGGAAUGUGAUUAAAAGAGAAACUAUCCGUGAAUAAAAAAUUAGGUAAUUAUCUCAUAUUCUAUUUUUUUAAUUUUUUUUUUCAAGUUUGGGUUUGUACGUGGAUUGUUAUAGGAUUUUUUUUGUUGGGAUUUAUUGUUGGGAUUAUAAAAUUAUGUAAAAAUGUAGAAAAGACUAUUUUGAAGUUUAAAAUAGAAAAAUUAAAUCAUAUAUAUAUAAUUAUCCCUAUAUUUAUGGAAUUUAAUAUUUUGUGUAUAUAUUGCAGGCUGUUAUUCAAAUUAUUGUUAUUUUUUUUAUUUUUUUUUUAAGAAACUGAAUAUUUUUAGUUAUGCUCAUAAAUAUCAUCAUGAAAUAAGGAAGCAGUUUUAAUUUGAAAAUUGUUAAUUAAAACUGUAAUGUAAUUUUUAAUUAAAACUGCCGGCUCAUCUCUUCUUCUCCUCUCUCUAUAGAUUUGCUCUCAGGUCUCAAUUCCAUCUCACUGUAAUGCAAUUUUUAAUAAUCUCACUUUCAUAUUUAUAAUGUUUAGAUUUAAUUAACUAACACUAAAACUCUCUUUCUUUAUCAUCGUCUUCUCCUCUUCUUUCUCAAUCAAGGUCAAUCCUGAAGCCUCCACUCCAAUUUACUCGCUCCGUGGCCUCGACAACUUCAAGUUCUUCUCAUUGUCUUUCUACUGGUACUGAAACAUAAGUUGUUUGUCCAAAAAACUACAAGGCAAUUAUCAGCCAAAAAAUGGAGAAUUCAGUUGUACGUAGAUGCAAACCGAACAAUGAGUUCAAAGUACAAUCAGUUCACCAUUCAAGCAGUUGAACCAAUGGAAGAUUAGGCAGAAGUUGCCAUUUUUCUUUUACAGUAAUUUUAUUUUAUUUAGUGUUAAGACUUUUCUUGGUGCCGAGCUUCUUUCACUUUCUAUUGACUUGUUAUCUACGGAUUUACAUGGAGUAUCGUAUGCAAGUAUUUCAUGUACCCAAUUUUCUAGAAGUAAAUAAUAAGUAUCGUUUUAUUUUGAUUUAUA